Molecule: ribosomal RNA, 530 nt
Filed under: Paecilomyces maximus
Lineage: Eukaryota; Fungi; Ascomycota; Eurotiomycetes; Eurotiales; Thermoascaceae
Description: partial large subunit ribosomal RNA
Rfam family: Eukaryotic large subunit ribosomal RNA
Source: RNAcentral
CUCAAAUUUGAAAUCUGGCUCCUCCGGGGUCCGAGUUGUAAUUUGCAGAGGAUGCUUCGGGUGCGGUCCCCGUCUAAGUACCCUGGAAUGGGUCGUCAUAGAGGGUGAGAAUCCCGUCUGGGACGGGUGGCCGUGUCCGUGUGAAGCUCCUUCGACGAGUCGAGUUGUUUGGGAAUGCAGCUCUAAAUGGGUGGUAAAUUUCAUCUAAAGCUAAAUAUUGGCCGGAGACCGAUAGCGCACAAGUAGAGUGAUCGAAAGAUGAAAAGCACUUUGAAAAGAGAGUUAAACAGCACGUGAAAUUGUUGAAAGGGAAGCGCUUGCGACCAGACUCGCCCGCGGGGGUUCAGCCGGUACUCGUACCGGUGUACUCCCCCGUGGGCGGGCCAGCGUCGGUUUGGGCGGCCGGUCAAAGGCCUCCGGAAUGUAUCGCCCUUCGGGGCGUCUUAUAGCCGGGGGUGCAAUGCGGCCAGCCUGGACCGAGGAACGCGCUUCGGCUCGGACGCUGGCGUAAUGGUCGUAAGCGGCCCGUC